Molecule: long non-coding RNA, 303 nt
Filed under: Penaeus monodon (black tiger shrimp)
Lineage: Eukaryota; Metazoa; Arthropoda; Malacostraca; Decapoda; Penaeidae
Description: uncharacterized LOC119570598
Source: RNAcentral
AAUAAAGACUUCAGUUAACCUCUUUCACAGCACCUGAUGAAGCCUCUGGCUGAAAGCGCUAGUGCUUAGAGUUAACUGUUAAUUUUAAGGAUUACAUGGUGCCAUUAGACUUCUGCUGGAGUUUCCUGCAGUGUGUUAAUUUGUCCUCGGAGAUUUCCCUCUGGCCUCAAAAGUGGACUGCAUACACACCCCUCUGGAAAAACAGCAGUUGUUAUUUCUUUGGCACAGAUAUUGUAAACUGUAUAAUAAACAGAGCUUGUAAUAUAUGGUUUGGAUAAAGGAAUAAAGAGAGAAACAAGGUGA